This is a ribosomal RNA of Pteropus vampyrus (large flying fox), 119 nucleotides long. The record is from Ensembl. Lineage: Eukaryota; Metazoa; Chordata; Mammalia; Chiroptera; Pteropodidae.
GGCUACGGCCACGCCACCCUGAACACGCCUGAUCUCGUCUGAUCUCGGAAGCUAAGGAGGGUCAGGCCUGGUUAGUACUUGGAUAGGAAACCAUCUAGGAAGACCAGGUGCUGUAGGCG